This is a non-coding RNA of Carassius gibelio (silver crucian carp), 520 nucleotides long. Lineage: Eukaryota; Metazoa; Chordata; Actinopteri; Cypriniformes; Cyprinidae. The record is from the annotation of a RefSeq genome assembly.
GUGAGUUAUGAAGUUUGAGCUGCUUGUGAUGAUCCACGAUGUUUCUAUACAGUGUCUGCUUCAUUCUUCUCUUUUCAGGUGAUGCAUGUGGAGAAGGAAUAGCUCCUCUCUCCUCGUCUGAACUUGUUACCGAUGGUGACUCCAUUACUUUGGUCUGCAAUUACAAUGGGACUUCCAAUAGUGAUUCUCUCCUGUGGUAUCGUCAAUUCAGCAGCUCCAAACCAGAGUUUUUGUUUCUGGUUAGUGAAGCCAAAUUCGAGCAGCCAGCUGACCCUCAAAUACCUGGAGUGUUUGCUAAAUUAAAUGAGGAGAGAAACCGUGUGGUUCUGGAGAUCUCCUCUGCUUCAGUAUCAGACUCUGCUCUGUACUACUGUGCCCUGCAGCCCACACUGACAGGAAAACACAAAACACUGUACGAAAUUAAGGGGAGAACAACUAAACGAACAAUCUGAUGAACUACACUAAAUAGUAGAUUAAACCUCUAUAUGACUGUGUCUUUAUUGCAUGAUGAUCAGGCAGA